RNAcentral lists this ribosomal RNA (434 nucleotides) under Magallana ariakensis (Suminoe oyster). RNAcentral's name for it is "partial 16S ribosomal RNA". It matches the Rfam family "Bacterial large subunit ribosomal RNA", at positions 1852 to 2564 of the family's 2925-position model. Lineage: Eukaryota; Metazoa; Mollusca; Bivalvia; Ostreida; Ostreidae. The record is from RNAcentral.
GCAAUACCUGCCCAGUGCGAAAUAUUACUGUAAACGGCCGCCCUAGCGUGAGGGUGCUAAGGUAGCGAAAUUCCUUGCCUUUUGAUUGUAGGCCUGCAUGAAUGGUUUAACGAGGGUUUAACUGUCUCUUGAUUUAAAAUUGAAAUUGUACUGAAGGUGAAGAUACCUUCAUUAAAAAGUCAGACAAAAAGACCCCGUGCAACUUUGAAAAUUAACUUUAUUCAGAAGUGAAAGAUUUUUAGGUGGGGCGCCUAGAAAGUAAAUCUAACCUUUCUGAACAUUUAAUUCUUUCCGGACUUGACCCGAUUAUAUUCGAUCAUAGGAGAAGUUACGCCGGGGAUAACAGGCUAAUCCUUUAGUAGAGCUCGUAUUGGCUAAAGGGAUUGGCACCUCGAUGUUGAAUCAGGGAUGAUAGCUUCAAGGCGUAGAGGCUU